This 515-nucleotide ribosomal RNA is filed under the name uncultured bacterium. RNAcentral's name for it is "partial 16S ribosomal RNA". It matches the Rfam family "Bacterial small subunit ribosomal RNA", at positions 28 to 523 of the family's 1533-position model. The record is from RNAcentral.
GAUGAACGCUGGCGGCGUGCCUAAUACAUGCAAGUCGAGCGAAUGGAUUAAGAGCUUGCUCUUAUGAAGUUAGCGGCGGACGGGUGAGUAACACGUGGGUAACCUGCCCAUAAGACUGGGAUAACUCCGGGAAACCGGGGCUAAUACCGGAUAACAUUUUGAACCGCAUGGUUCGAAAUUGAAAGGCGGCUUCGGCUGUCACUUAUGGAUGGACCCGCGUCGCAUUAGCUAGUUGGUGAGGUAACGGCUCACCAAGGCAACGAUACGUAGCCGACCUGAGAGGGGGAGCGGCCACACUGGGACUGAGACACGGCCCAGACUCCUACGGGAGGCAGCAGUAGGAGAUCUUCCGCAAUGGACGAAAGUCUGACGGAGCAACGCCGCGUGAGUGAUGAAGGCUUUCGGGUCGUAAAACUCUGUUGUUAGGGAAGAACAAGUGCUAGUUGAAUAAGCUGGCACCUUGACGGUACCUAACCAGAAAGCCACGGCUAACUACGUGCCAGCAGCCGCAGUAA